GACGAACGCUGGCGGCGUGCUUAACACAUGCAAGUCGAACGAAGAGCGAUGGAAGCUUGCUUCUAUCAAUCUUAGUGGCGAACGGGUGAGUAACGCGUAAUCAACCUGCCCUUCAGAGGGGGACAACAGUUGGAAACGACUGCUAAUACCGCAUACGAUCUAAUCUCGGCAUCGAGGAUAGAUGAAAGGUGGCCUCUACAUGUAAGCUAUCACUGAAGGAGGGGAUUGCGUCUGAUUAGCUAGUUGGAGGGGUAACGGCCCACCAAGGCGAUGAUCAGUAGCCGGUCUGAGAGGAUGAACGGCCACAUUGGGACUGAGACACGGCCCAGACUCCUACGGGAGGCAGCAGUGGGGAAUCUUCCGCAAUGGACGGAAGUCUGACGGAGCAACGCCGCGUGAGCGAUGACGGCCUUCGGGUUGGAAAGCUCUGUUAAUCGGGACGAAAGGCCUUCUUGCGAAUAGUGAGAAGGAUUGACGGUACCGGAAUAGAAAGCCACGGCUAACUACGUG
RNAcentral lists this ribosomal RNA (510 nucleotides) under uncultured bacterium. Its description in RNAcentral is "partial 16S ribosomal RNA". It matches the Rfam family "Bacterial small subunit ribosomal RNA", at positions 28 to 507 of the family's 1533-position model. The record is from RNAcentral.